GGUUCGGGCGCGGGUCGGUGGGACGAUCCGCAGGAAUGGAACCCGCCUCGUUUCGCUCGGGAUGGAUCAGGCCGCAGCCCGGCGGCCCGACCU
RNAcentral lists this non-coding RNA (93 nucleotides) under unclassified sequences. RNAcentral's name for it is "Rhodo-rpoB RNA". It matches the Rfam family "Rhodo-rpoB RNA". The record is from RNAcentral.